Molecule: non-coding RNA, 113 nt
Organism: Acanthosepion pharaonis
Lineage: Eukaryota; Metazoa; Mollusca; Cephalopoda; Sepiida; Sepiidae
Source: the annotation of a GenBank genome assembly
UUACGGCUAUAUCACGUUGAAAUACCGAUUCUCGUAUGAUCACCGAAGUUAAGCAACGUCGAGCCUGGUCAGUACCUAGAUGGGUGACCGCUUGGGAAUGCCAGGUGCUGUAA